UACGGGGGGAGCAAGCGUUGUUCGGAUUUACUGGGCGUAAAGGGCGCGUAGGCGGUCAGCACAAGUCAGUUGUGAAAUCUCCGGGCUUAACUCGGAAAGGUCAACUGAUACUGUGCGACUAGAGUGCGGAAGGGGCAACUGGAAUUCUCGGUGUAGCGGUGAAAUGCGUAGAUAUCGAGAGGAACACCUGCGGCGAAGGCGGGUUGCUGGGCCGACACUGACGCUGAUACGCGAAAGCCAGGGGAGCGAACGGG
Molecule: ribosomal RNA, 254 nt
Filed under: uncultured bacterium
Lineage: Bacteria
Description: partial 16S ribosomal RNA
Rfam family: Bacterial small subunit ribosomal RNA
Source: RNAcentral